UGACGGUACCUGACUAAGAAGCCCCGGCUAACUACGUGCCAGCAGCCGCGGUAAUACGUAGGGGGCAAGCGUUAUCCGGAUUUACUGGGUGUAAAGGGAGCGUAGACGGAAGUGCAAGUCUGAUGUGAAAGGCAUGGGCUCAACCCGUGGACUGCAUUGGAAACUGUAUUUCUUGAGUGCCGGAGGGGUAAGCGGAAUUCCUGGUGUAGCGGUGAAAUGCGUAGAUAUCAGGAGGAACACCGGUGGCGAAGGCGGCUUACUGGACGGCAACUGACGUUGAGGCUCGAAGGCGUGGGGAGCAAACAGGAUUAGAUACCCUG
This 320-nucleotide ribosomal RNA is filed under the name uncultured bacterium. RNAcentral's name for it is "bacterial SSU rRNA". It matches the Rfam family "Bacterial small subunit ribosomal RNA", at positions 470 to 789 of the family's 1533-position model. The record is from RNAcentral.